RNAcentral lists this ribosomal RNA (253 nucleotides) under uncultured bacterium. RNAcentral's name for it is "partial 16S ribosomal RNA". It matches the Rfam family "Bacterial small subunit ribosomal RNA", at positions 524 to 776 of the family's 1533-position model. The record is from RNAcentral.
UACGUAGGGAGCAAGCGUUGUCCGGAAUCAUUGGGCGUAAAGCGCGCGUAGGUGGCUUCGUAAGUCCGUUGUGAAAGUCAAAGGCUCAACCUUUGAAAGCCGAUGGAUACUGCGGAGCUAGAGUACGGAAGAGGCGAGUGGAAUUCCUGGUGUAGCGGUGGAAUGCGCAGAUAUCAGGAGGAACACCCAUAGCGAAGGCAGCUCGCUGGGACGGUACUGACGCUGAGGCGCGAAAGCGUGGGGAGCGAACAGG